AGUGAACGCUGGCGGUAGGCCUAACACAUGCAAGUCGAACGGCAGCACAGUAAGAGCUUGCUCUUACGGGUGGCGAGUGGCGGACGGGUGAGGAAUACAUCGGAAUCUACUUUUUCGUGGGGGAUAACGUAGGGAAACUUACGCUAAUACCGCAUACGACCUACGGGUGAAAGCAGGGGAUCUUCGGACCUUGCGCGAUUGAAUGAGCCGAUGUCGGAUUAGCUAGUUGGCGGGGUAAAGGCCCACCAAGGCGACGAUCCGUAGCUGGUCUGAGAGGAUGAUCGGCCACACUGGAACUGAGACACGGUCAAGACUCCGACGGGGGGCAGCAGGGGGGAAUUUUGAGCAAGGGGCGAAAGCUUGACCGAGCAACCCCGCGUGGGUGAAGAAGGCCUUCGGUUUGUAAACCUUUUUUGUGGGAAAAAAAAAAAGGCGGGAAAAUCCCCGGCUGUCUGGACGGUACCAAAAAAAAAAGCCCCGGCUAACUUGGUG
RNAcentral lists this ribosomal RNA (492 nucleotides) under uncultured bacterium. RNAcentral describes it as "partial 16S ribosomal RNA". It matches the Rfam family "Bacterial small subunit ribosomal RNA", at positions 29 to 507 of the family's 1533-position model. The record is from RNAcentral.